Molecule: long non-coding RNA, 935 nt
Filed under: Brassica rapa (field mustard)
Lineage: Eukaryota; Viridiplantae; Streptophyta; Magnoliopsida; Brassicales; Brassicaceae
Description: long non-coding RNA (BRAP_LNC000610)
Source: RNAcentral
UGAUAUACAAUGCAAUUUCCAUAAAAAGUAAUUGUCAAAGGAGUGCAUCCGUUUGGAAAAAGAGAAAAUUUGACAAAAGAGUGGGUUGAUUUCACUAAUUUUAUUGGAUGCACUUGUUAUAAUUAUUAGUAAUUUAGAAAGGCUUUUGAUAUUUAAUUGGAGUCAUUUCUUCGCUCUCCCUUCUCUCUUGCAAACAACUCAGUGACCGGUGUCACUACCGGUACCGCGAGAAAGACCAUUCUUUUGCUUGUUGCAAAGCCUUGGUCUUCAUAGUGUGCUUGCCUUGUCUUUGGCUUGGCUGGGGCUCCGGUUUCUUGUUCCAAAUAUUUGGGGUCCGAUCUGGGGCGAGAUACCCCAAACCUACCUUAGUUCUCUCCUUUCAACUCACAAUGGUUUUGAGAUCUCUAGUUAACCGGCGUUUGUGGUUCUGGAUUUCCUGGUCUUAUAUUCUUUGGCUUGCAUGUCUGCUCUGAGGACAAUGGGCUGAGAUCGAGGUUUGAGGCUGGUGGAGGUGGAGGUUUGUGAGGUGAGGCUUCGCCUAUUCCGUACCGGCAAAGCCUGUUAGGUCUGUUGGCUACUUUUUCUCCUUGUGUUUUGCCUCUUAUUUUCGCGUUUCGUCAAGCCGGAUUUCCAUUCUUCUCUGGUUCGUGGGGCUUAUCGUUUUACUCUCCAUCGGAAGUUUCUCCUCCAUUCAUUUGGUGGUCUUUUGCGUUCCGCUUUUGGCGAUGUUCUGCAGUGACGUGGUGACCCCCUUGGUGGUUGCACACGCGCGCGCACACACACACAUUGACCUUGAGCUUUCAUUCCUAUAAACACUUUGACUCAUGUACACCUCCAUUUUCAUUAGUUUUAGUCUCAUUUAUACUCGAAAACAUUUGUAAGUUGUAAACCUUUUGAUAUAUGAUAUAGAAAAAAAUUCAUAAAUUACCUCAACU